This 695-nucleotide long non-coding RNA is filed under the name Taeniopygia guttata (zebra finch). RNAcentral describes it as "lncRNA (ENSTGUG00000023623.1)". Lineage: Eukaryota; Metazoa; Chordata; Aves; Passeriformes; Estrildidae. The record is from RNAcentral.
GUAUUUGCAAUAAACCAGAUUUAUUGUUGAGCAAUAAUAGCAAAGGAUAGAAUGAUCAAAUGAAAAGGAAAACCUGAAAAUUCCUUUUUCCAUCAAACUAAUUGCAACAAAUGCCAAUGGCAAGAGAUUUGAGCGGGAAGGAGGGGUGCUCAGUAAUUCAAAGGAAGAACUUGGAUUUAUUUGCUGGUUUUGCUAUUGAAUCCUCCUCUAACCAAUAGCAGGACCCUGGAAAUUAUUCUUUCUUGCCCUACAUUCCAGCCUGGAUGGACUCAGAAGUUAAGAACCACACCGUAAAGAUCUAUUUCACCAGCAUCUCACCGUAAAGAUCUAUUUCACCAGCAUCUCUGUCCCCUCAUUACAGUAAGCUCUCUUCUGUCAUCUUCCUGUCUCAGAGCUCUGCUUGGAGACCAGUUGAUGAGAUCCAUACCUCUGUACCAAGCUGUGUGACAAAAGCUGUGGGUCAAGUACUGCCCAAGGAAAUUUUACAGGACAACACAGAAGACAAAGCACCAGUGAGGUUACAAAUGUCAGAAUACCUGGUUUGUUUUGGUUUGAAGAAUUUAAGGUGGGAAUCUGGAAGAAUAUUCAAGUAUUUUACUCUUGCAGGUGAAUUUCCCCCAUGUUCUUUGAGAUUCUCAUGAAUUAGGAACUGUGUGCAUCUGCACUGGACAAUUCUCAAUGUGCACACUAGGAUG